RNAcentral lists this ribosomal RNA (254 nucleotides) under uncultured bacterium. RNAcentral's name for it is "partial 16S ribosomal RNA". It matches the Rfam family "Bacterial small subunit ribosomal RNA", at positions 524 to 776 of the family's 1533-position model. The record is from RNAcentral.
UACGAAGGGGGCUAGCGUUGCUCGGAAUCACUGGGCGUAAAGGGUGCGUAGGCGGGUCUUUUAAGUCAGGGGUGAAAUCCUGGAGCUCAACUCCAGAACUGCCUUUGAUACUGAGGAUCUUGAGUUCGGGAGAGGUGAGUGGAACUGCGAGUGUAGAGGUGAAAUUCGUAGAUAUUCGCAAGAACACCAGUGGCGAAGGCGGCUCACUGGCCCGAUACUGACGCUGAGACGCGAAGGCGUGGGGAGCGAACGGG